Molecule: ribosomal RNA, 465 nt
Filed under: uncultured bacterium
Lineage: Bacteria
Description: bacterial SSU rRNA
Rfam family: Bacterial small subunit ribosomal RNA
Source: RNAcentral
CCAGACUCCUACGGGAGGCAGCAGUGAGGAAUAUUGGUCAAUGGGCGGGAGCCUGAACCAGCCAAGUCGCGUGAGGGACGACGGUCCUAUGGAUUGUAAACCUCUUUUGUCGGGGAACAAAGGCGCCCACGGGUGGGCGGAUGAGUGUACCCGAAGAAAAAGCAUCGGCUAACUCCGUGCCAGCAGCCGCGGUAAUACGGAGGAUGCGAGCGUUAUCCGGAUUUAUUGGGUUUAAAGGGUGCGCAGGCGGAAGAUCAAGUCAGGGUUAAAAUUGGGAGGCUCAACCUCUCCGAGCCGUUGAAACUGGUUUUCUUGGGUGAGCGAGAAGUAUGCGGAAUGCGUGGUGUAGCGGUGAAAUGCAUAGAUAUCACGCAGAACUCCGAUUGCGAAGGCAGCAUACCGGCGCUCAACUGACGCUCAUGCACGAAAGUGUGGGUAUCGAACAGGAUUAGAUACCCUUGUAGA